UACGUAGGGUGCAAGCGUUGUCCGGAAUUAUUGGGCGUAAAGAGCUCGUAGGCGGUCUGUUGCGUCGGCUGUGAAAACCCGGGGCUCAACUCCGGGCCUGCAGCCGAUACGGGCAGACUAGAGUUCGGCAGGGGAGACUGGAAUUCCUGGUGUAGCGGUGAAAUGCGCAGAUAUCAGGAGGAACACCCGUAGCGAAGGCGGCACUCUGGGCCGAUACUGACACUGAGGAGCGAAAGCGUGGGGAGCGAACAGG
RNAcentral lists this ribosomal RNA (253 nucleotides) under uncultured bacterium. Its description in RNAcentral is "partial 16S ribosomal RNA". It matches the Rfam family "Bacterial small subunit ribosomal RNA", at positions 524 to 776 of the family's 1533-position model. The record is from RNAcentral.